CUUUCGCCCGAGGCGGGCUGCGGGCUGCUGGGGUCUGGUGCGGAGGGCCAACUUCUGGGAAUAACCUGGCUGUGGGCUUAAAAAUCGUAGUCAUUCAUUAUCACGGGCUUCUCUCUCUCGAAUACCUUUAACAUUUAUCGCCUUGUUAGUCUCCACAUCCACCUCCGUGAAAGAUGGAGUCUCGCUAUAUUUCCCAGUCUGGCCUCAAACUCCUGAUCUUAAGGGAUCCCCAGCUCAACCUCUCCCAGCAGCUGGGACUACCGGGCUGUCAAAUUUACAUUAACUAUGAGAAUUAAGCAGGAAUUCUCAAGGGUCUCUUUGGAGGCUUACCAAGGACAUCCAGCUGCACAGUGAAGGUGGCUUCUCCUGCUCUAUUCUUGGCAACACAUGCAUAAGCCCCUGCAUCUGAAGCUCUGACUACUUCAAAGAUGAGUGAAUGAAGACCCUUCUCAGACACUAUCAUUUUGUGCAAAUCAUCUGAUUGAACUGUUCUUCCAUUUAGAUACCAUGACACAUCAGGAGCUGGCAGUCCACUCACCUAGAAAGAAAAACACAAGGAGAUGGCAGAAUUUUAAAGUAUUGCAUCACUGAAACCUAUUUGUCCAUAUAUGAAUUUAAACAGUUCCCGUAUCUGAGUGGGUUUGCGAUUGAAAUGCAAAGCAAGAGCUCAAAAGUAUUUAUAAUUUUUUAAACAAAACAUUGGAAAUAAGAUCCUUGAAAUUAACAUAGUAUUUUUAGACUGUCUCAAACCAUAACUCUUUUACAUGCAACCUCAGUCUCUUUAUGAACUCUUAAUUUCUAUAUUUAGAACAUUAAUUUAUGUUACAUUGGUUUCCAUAAGGAAUAUAGAAGUCAUUGCUUUUCUGGCUAAAUGUGACUGCAAAUGAAGUCCCAGAGGCACAUAUAUAUGAGGCUUCCUGAUCUAAUGCGUAAUUUUUCUAAAACAGAGUGUUCUUGAGCUAUAGUUUGGCAUAUAAAUGGCAAUUUGUUAAGUGUUUUUACAUAAACUGUUAACAGUGGAAUCCAAAGCUUUAACACUAACUUGAGUUCAUAAGGAAUCUGGAAAAAAAAUUUUAUAAGGAAAAGUUCUCCAAAAUAAGGAUAAUAAAAAUAUAACCUCUUCUAAAGAGCUUUUCUAGUCUGAGGGACUCUUUUAGGCCAAGAGAAAGCAGGGUGGCUUGAAUUUCUUGAUAGAGGAGAAUUGGAGAGACAUUAUACUUUAAGGCUGGGCACAGUGGCUCACGCCUGUAAUCCCAGCACUUUGGGAAGCCAAGGUGAGUGGAUCGCCUUGAACCCAGGAGUUCUAGACUAGCUGGGCAUGGUGGCACGCGUCUGUAGUUUCAGCUACUAGGGAGGCUGAGUUGGGAUGAUGGCUUGAGCCUGGGAGACAGGUUGCAGUGAGCUGCGAUUGUGCCAUUGCACUCCAGCCUGGGUGACAGAGCAAGACCCUGUCUCAAAAAAAAAAAAAAGGGCAUUGUACUUUAAAAAUUAUAUUGUUCUGAUAGCUUCACUUAUAAAAGUAUUUAUUAGGUAUACCUAUCCACUCAAUUAAUCCUCAUAAUUUUUUGGGGUAUUUGUUAUCCCAUUUUACAGAUGAGGAGACAAAAGCACAGAGAGGUUAAAUGACUUGUCUAAGGUUGCUUAGCUGGAGGAUGGCAGAGCCAGAAUUCAAACCCACAUCAGUUUGACUUCAGAAUUUGUGUUCUUGUCCAUUGUACGUACUGCUUUGCAAGCUAUGAAGUAGGAAAAGAACAUUUUUCAAAACUUAGUAUCCCAUUGUUAAUUUUCCCCCAGUACUUUUGAACCCUUCUCUUACUUUGAAGUCCAUUCUGCAGAAUCUUCCUUCAUCAAUCGACAUGUUCUCUGGCACUUGAAUGAAACGUGGUGGGUAAAAUUUCUCCUGGAUUGCAUCCUGAUCAUUCACAUCUCCCCUUGAGGUUGAUCUACUU
RNAcentral lists this long non-coding RNA (1949 nucleotides) under Homo sapiens (human). RNAcentral describes it as "non-protein coding lnc-HNRNPA0-4:10". The record is from RNAcentral. Lineage: Eukaryota; Metazoa; Chordata; Mammalia; Primates; Hominidae.